Molecule: ribosomal RNA, 372 nt
Filed under: uncultured bacterium
Lineage: Bacteria
Description: bacterial SSU rRNA
Rfam family: Bacterial small subunit ribosomal RNA
Source: RNAcentral
ACGGAGGGUGCAAGCGUUAAUCGGAAUUACUGGGCGUAAAGCGUGCGUAGGUGGUUUGUUUAGUCAGAUGUGAAAGCCCCGGGCUCAACCUGGGAACUGCAUUUGAAACUGGCAAACUAGAGUAUAGGAGAGGAAAGUGGAAUUUCAGGUGUAGCGGUGAAAUGCGUAGAUAUCUGAAGGAACAUCAAUGGCGAAGGCAGCUUUCUGGACUAAUACUGACACUGAGGUACGAAAGCGUGGGUAGCAAACAGGAUUAGAUACCCUGGUAGUCCACGCCGUAAACGAUGAUAACUAGCCGUUGGGGGGAUUUACCCUUUAGUGGCCAAGCUAACGCGUUAAGUUAUCCGCCUGGGGAGUACGGCCGCAAGGUUA